ACCCACCGCCGCUGCCGCCGC
RNAcentral lists this microRNA (21 nucleotides) under Picea abies (Norway spruce). Its description in RNAcentral is "pab-miR11418". Lineage: Eukaryota; Viridiplantae; Streptophyta; Pinopsida; Pinales; Pinaceae. The record is from miRBase by way of RNAcentral.